CUCGGUGUAGCGCAGUCUGGUAGCGCAUCUCGUUUGGGACGAGAGGGUCGGAGGUUCAAAUCCUUUCACCGAGACCA
RNAcentral lists this transfer RNA (77 nucleotides) under Hellea sp. RNAcentral's name for it is "tRNA-Pro". It matches the Rfam family "tRNA". From Rfam's summary of the family: Transfer RNA (tRNA) molecules are approximately 80 nucleotides in length. Lineage: Bacteria; Pseudomonadati; Pseudomonadota; Alphaproteobacteria; Maricaulales; Robiginitomaculaceae. The record is from RNAcentral.